This is a long non-coding RNA of Mustela erminea (ermine), 356 nucleotides long. RefSeq lists it as uncharacterized. The transcript has 3 exons. NCBI's taxonomy places the organism in Eukaryota, Metazoa, Chordata, Mammalia, Carnivora, Mustelidae. The record is from RefSeq and is a predicted model, not a curated record.
GCCAUAACAAGGUUCUGCAGACCUGGGGGCUUAACAGAAACCAGCUUUCUCCCAAUUCUGGAGGCCGGAAGUCUAAGAUCAAGGCAUCCUGUGCCCUCUUCAAAGAGGUCAUCGUGGGAGGAAAUAUAUUUAUUGGAGUGAACUCGUUCUUGCUCAAAAUUUCUCGAUUGUCUACUUUGACACCUCCUCACAGUCUGGUUAAGCUGCACACAAAACCCAGAAAUUUCAUUUACAGGGACACGUGGGUGGCUCAAUCGGUUAAGCACCUGGCUUCAGUUCUGGUCGUUAUCCCAGGGUCCUGGGUUUGAGCUCCAUAUGGGGCUCCCUCCUGGUUCAGCUGAGAACCUGCUUCUUCC